GAAAUCCUCAUGUUAACGGUUCCAAUUUCC
This 30-nucleotide transfer RNA is filed under the name Solanum turraeifolium. Its description in RNAcentral is "partial tRNA-Phe". The record is from RNAcentral. Lineage: Eukaryota; Viridiplantae; Streptophyta; Magnoliopsida; Solanales; Solanaceae.